This is a long non-coding RNA of Haplochromis burtoni (Burton's mouthbrooder), 2951 nucleotides long. RefSeq lists it as uncharacterized. The transcript has 4 exons. Lineage: Eukaryota; Metazoa; Chordata; Actinopteri; Cichliformes; Cichlidae. The record is from RefSeq and is a predicted model, not a curated record.
AAGCACAAAAUACAGAUAUACAAAUACAAAAUAGCAAACACAAUGUCAGGGGGUUCGUAUAAAAAAGCAAAAUAGACAGUCAAUUAUAGAAUCACAUGAUAUUGAACAGGGAACAUAGGUUUAUGGUUUUGACAGCUUUUUGAUCUUGAGAAUGUUGUAUGGUUUUAACAUAUUGUUUGGUUUAAUUUAAAAAGUACCGAAACGAUGGUUUUGCGUUAGAAAAUUUCGACUUAUGUAUAUGAAAUUUAGCCAAUAAUAUCAAAUAAAAUUCGUUUGCCCUGUGCAUGGGGUACUUAAAGAAACCGAACAAUAUUUUCUCGUAACAAAGAGAGAACUCAGAAAAGAUAAAGGAAACAACAAAAACACAAAAUUCAGGAAGUUAGCAUUGUCUCGUGCACAUAGUCAAUUCUCAAAGCAUAUGCACCGCAGCAUCAGCUACCAUUCAUCUUCAUGGAGUAGUGAGUGACAGGCGUCAGGUCACGGCCCCUUAAUUUGCUGUUCAGCCCAGAGGCGGGAAUUUUGGCGAACGAGUGACGGGAGGCGAAAUCAAUAUGGCGGCAGCGACGAGCGUUAGCAUAACCGAAGUGGAUUAUUUACUUAGUUGUAUAUUUUCUUCUAUAUCUUUGGACGAAACGGUUAAGAGACUGGGACCACAUCAUCGAAACGAUGUUCAAAUAACACAAACGACAGAAUCGUAAAGUUUGUGUUAUGUGGUUUCAACGAAAGGACUAGCUAACGGCAAGCAGGAAAUUCACUUUACUGUGUCCCAUGCCUGCUUUUUGGAGGAGACACAGCUUGAAUUCAACAAGGAAUUGUGGAUUUGAAGCAUUUAUCUGACAAAAUUAGGAAACACGAAUGAAGCACAAGUCACAUUGGAAAUAGGGUAAAGUUAACAUCGCCUGCCACCUGGAUGAAGGACACCGCAUUGCUUUAGACUCUAAAGCACUUGGUGUCGUUUGACUUCAACGACAGGGUGAUUACCGUAACAUGUUUGCAUCCCAGAAAACUCGAUGUUGUGAUCUUCACUUUAAAUAAGUGGCUGUUUGAGAGUGAAAAACUCCACUGUGCAUGGGGAGGAACUACUGAGGAGUGGAGGAGAGACAGUGUUUCGCAGCUUGGGCUGAUGGAUCCAGGUAAAAGUCUCAUCGAGAUUUAAUUUUCCAAGAGAGACCUGGCCGUCAUGGAAGCAAAGGUUACAACAAAUACAAUAGACCAACAGAAGAAGCGAGCACAAUUUAAAGCAAAAGAGCCAAUAAAGAGCAGUCAUGUCGGAGGUGAUGUGAUGACAUCUGAUAAACAAGAAGUCAAGCUGCUGCUGUUUGAACUAGCUCAAGGUGAUAUACUUGUUUUAUAGUGCUAUGCUCUCACUUGUAUUCUGUAUGCUGCUUUUGCUUCAGCUUAUUUUUUUUACCAUCUCAUCUUCCCAAGGUCAAAACUACUCGAGGCUGAAAUUGAAAUUGUCACAAUAUUUUAAGUAUUACUAUUCGAAAUGUAAUUUGAAACGCACAUUGAAAAGCUUGUAUCCAACCUGAACUUUAAAUUAGGUUUCUUUUUAAAGAAUAAAUGACAGGAAUGCAUGGAUCUGUACUGCUUUUUAUUAAUGGGUCAGGCUGCUGCUGCUGCUAGUGUUGUAAUGGGAUGGGGGAUAUUAUCCUGGCACACUCUGGGCAUCACAGCCUACCUGAGUACUGUUGCUGACCACGGUGAACAUCUUCUGACAGCUGCUUCCAGCAGGACAACGAACAAUGUCAUAAAACUGAAACUGUCUCAUGAACAUGGCAAUGUUCACGGCAGUGUACUCAAAUGUGCUCCACAGUCACCAGAUCUUUUGGUAAGUAACUACAAACGAUUAUGAGGCUGCAAAAUGAAUACAAAUGGGUUCAAAGAGACAAAAUGAGCACAGAUGGAAAAACAGUGCAAAGUAACACAAAAUGAAACAAAGAGACUUAAUAACCUUAAAGAGAUGCACAACAACAGCAAGGCUAAAAACUCAUUUCAUCUUUUAGUCUAGGUGAAUUCUCUCCUGUUGUCCCAAAACUCAAGACAUACUCUGGCACCUCAACAAAGACUUGAGCGUGGCUCUCAUGCGGAGAUGCCCGGCGUUACUAUGUGGCAAUGACUUGCAAUUUUUGCAAUUGCAUUUUUUUUCUUGCUGUGAUCAAACACAGAAGAUAUAAAAAAACAUGCUAAUUAACAACUUUCAUGUAGUUUCUCACCCAGUUUGUGAGGUUAAAAGGAACCCUGGUGCUUUUGUCCAGCUCAGUUUGGUGAAAACCAGAGCGACUGGUCUGCACCACCACCAAGUUUGCACUUAGAGUUGGCAGUGAUUUUGAAAUUAAUUCUACAAUUAGUUUUUCAGAACGGUGUUUUGCACACUAAUCUGUCAAAUGGAGAUUGUUGUCAUCACAUGUAGGCGACCUAAUGGUCUGUUAGUCUUCCUGGACCUGGUAACUCCAGCAAAGAGCGUCUGAGCCAGACGGAUCCAAUUUAAGCUGCUUGACAUCUCUGGCCACUUCAUGACUUUUUAAUGUCUUCUAUUCCGUUUCUAUUUUAUAAUUCAGGAACACAGCAGUACACUAAAGGGAGGUGUCAUUAAGGUGUUCAGUUUGUAGGACGACUGGCUUUUGACUCCAUCUACUGGUCAUUUGCUUGGCUCUCAUGUUUAUAUGUAUAUACUGUAUCUCCAGGAAGUGAAGGAAAUAAAAGAAAUAUGCAGUAACGAUAUGCAAAUCGGAAAUCACUUCAAAGGAGAGCGCGUGGAGUAGGCAGAAUAAAAAAUCAAAAAUAAUGUCCGGUCCUGGCGAGCGAGACCAAAGACUUGAGUGUGCUCUCAUACUGAGCGGUCUGCCUUUCCUCAGGUGACACUUCUGUAUUCUCACAGCAGACAUCACAGAGGAAACGCAGCAGUUCUCUUCCCCCUUUGCUGUGCUGCCGCGUGCCCUGCUCCACCC